Molecule: transfer RNA, 73 nt
Filed under: Toxocara canis (dog roundworm)
Lineage: Eukaryota; Metazoa; Nematoda; Chromadorea; Rhabditida; Toxocaridae
Rfam family: tRNA
About the family: Transfer RNA (tRNA) molecules are approximately 80 nucleotides in length. Their secondary structure includes four short double-helical elements and three loops (D, anti-codon, and T loops). Further hydrogen bonds mediate the characteristic L-shaped molecular structure. tRNAs have two regions of fundamental functional importance: the anti-codon, which is responsible for specific mRNA codon recognition, and the 3' end, to which the tRNAs corresponding amino acid is attached (by aminoacyl-tRNA synthetases). tRNAs cope with the degeneracy of the genetic code in two manners: having more than one tRNA (with a specific anti-codon) for a particular amino acid; and 'wobble' base-pairing, i.e. permitting non-standard base-pairing at the 3rd anti-codon position.
Source: Rfam by way of RNAcentral
UGGGCAGUAGCUCCAGUGGUAGAGCCCUCGCUUCGUCUGCGGGAAGACCCGGGUUCGAUUCCCGGCUGCUUUC